RNAcentral lists this ribosomal RNA (492 nucleotides) under uncultured bacterium. RNAcentral describes it as "partial 16S ribosomal RNA". It matches the Rfam family "Bacterial small subunit ribosomal RNA", at positions 30 to 507 of the family's 1533-position model. The record is from RNAcentral.
AUUGAACGCUGGCGGCAUGCUUUACACAUGCAAGUCGAACGGUAACAGGCCUUCGGGUGCUGACGAGUGGCGAACGGGUGAGUAAUGCAUCGGAACGUGCCCAGAGGUGGGGGAUAACGCAGCGAAAGCUGUGCUAAUACCGCAUGUGAUCUGAGGAUGAAAGCGGGGGACCAAGCAGCAAUGUUUGGCCUCGCGCCUCUGGAGCGGCCGAUGUCAGAUUAGGUAGUUGGUGGGGUAAAGGCCUACCAAGCCGACGAUCUGUAGCUGGUCUGAGAGGACGACCGGCCACACUGGGACUGAGACACGGCCCAGACUCCUACGGGAGGCAGCAGUGGGGAAUUUUGGACAAUGGGCGCAAGCCUGAUCCAGCAAUGCCGCGUGCGGGAAGAAGGCCUUCGGGUUGUAAACCGCUUUUGUACGGAACGAAAAGGCUCUGGCUAAUACCUGGGGCUGAUGACGGUACCGUAAGAAUAAGCACCGGCUAACUACGUG